CUUCUCAAGUCUGACAGUGAGGUCGACCACUGAGACAUCAACGGUAGGAACUCGGAAGGACAUUCCGGUCAAUUUACCAUUAAGGGCAGGCAAAACCUUACCAACUGCCUGUAAGGUAAGGUAUAAUUGAAAUUUUAGAAUUAGCCAAACCAAAGAAAUAAAAAAUUAUCACCCGACCAACUGAGUGUACCUUGGCAGCACCGGUGCUGCUGGGAAUGAUGUUGAAGGAAGCAGCUCUGCCACCUCUCCAGUCCUUCAUUGAUGGUCCAUCAACAGUCUUCUGAGUGGCAGUGAUGGAAUGGACAGUGGUCAUAAGACCCUCGACAAUGCCAAACUUAUCAUGUAUAACCUUAGCAAGAGGAGCUAGGCAGUUGGUAGUGCAGCUAGCAUUUGAGACAAUGUCAAGCUCUGGCUUGUAUUCUUUCUCGUUGACGCCCACAACAAACAUGGGAGCAUCCUUGCUAGGGGCGGAGAUAACGACUUUCUUGGCACCACC
This 496-nucleotide long non-coding RNA is filed under the name Citrus maxima (pomelo). RNAcentral's name for it is "long non-coding RNA (CMAX_LNC003198)". The record is from RNAcentral. Lineage: Eukaryota; Viridiplantae; Streptophyta; Magnoliopsida; Sapindales; Rutaceae.